This 856-nucleotide long non-coding RNA is filed under the name Brachypodium distachyon (stiff brome). Its description in RNAcentral is "long non-coding RNA (BDIS_LNC000146)". The record is from RNAcentral. Lineage: Eukaryota; Viridiplantae; Streptophyta; Magnoliopsida; Poales; Poaceae.
UAGCUUUUUCUCUUUUGCUGUCAAAGGACGCUGUGUGCAGGCCUGAAACGGGGUCAAACGGAUACCCGUUUACAUCGCCUACUUCCAAGGAAAUAAAAUGGAGUGCUCUCUUUAUUAAUAUAGCGGACGUACAAUUUCCAACUAUACACACAUGGAUUGUUAAACUCGUAUCCAAGGAAUUUUCUAUUGAUAUUAAUUUUCUAUGAGAUAAUCCACAAUAUACAAAGCUAAAUCUUGGAAAAUGUGCAUGCUACCGUUUGAAACAUAUAGAAGUAACCUAGGGCAUAUUCAACGAUGGUUACUACACGGAUACCAAGGAAUACUAGACCAAUAAAAAUAAGACCUUAAUAUAAUAAAGAGGUAGUGUUUACUUGAAGAAGUAACCGCCUCUACACGGGUACCAAGACAUGAAAGAUGAUGACAUGUGGGUCCAUCAAGAAAGAAAAUAAAGUAAGAAAAGAACAAAACAUAUUAAAAAAGAGAGAGAAAAAAAUUAGUAACGGCCACCAUUGGAGAUGCCCUUGUACAGCAUGGUGUCUUAAUUUGACUCUGAACUCUGGACCAAGAGUUAGCACUAGAUGCGACGACAUACAAAGGAAAUAAGGUUCACUUUAUUAAGAGUUUGUUCUAUUGUCUUAAUCUGACCCGGGACCAAGAGUUAGCACUAAAUACGAUGAUAUAUAAAGGGAAUAAGGUUCACUUUAGCUAAGAUGUACUAUGUUCUAUUGUCUCAAUGUGACUUUGGACCAAUACUUAGCACUAAGCGUGAUGAUAUACAAAGGGAAUAUAUUAACUUUUAGCUAAGAGUUGUGUUCUAUCGUGUCUCGUACUCGACAUCAGCAAUUAUCCUACAUGA